This 466-nucleotide ribosomal RNA is filed under the name uncultured bacterium. RNAcentral's name for it is "partial 16S ribosomal RNA". It matches the Rfam family "Bacterial small subunit ribosomal RNA", at positions 28 to 507 of the family's 1533-position model. The record is from RNAcentral.
GAUGAACGCUGGCGGCGUGCUUAACACAUGCAAGUCGAACGAUGAAGCCCAGCUUGCUGGGUGGAUUAGUGGCGAACGGGUGAGUAACACGUGAGUAACCUGCCCUUAACUCUGGGAUAAGCCUGGGCAACUGGGUCUAAUACCGGAUAGGAGCGUCCACCGCAUGGUGGGUGUUGGAAAGAUUUAUCGGUUUUGGAUGGACUCGCGGCCUAUCAGCUUGUUGGUGGGGUAAUGGCUCACCAAGGCGACGACGGGUAGCCGGCCUGAGAGGGUGACCGGCCACACGGGUACUGAGACACGCAUCAGUAUACAACGAGAGGCAGCAGUGGGGAAUAGUGCACGAUGGGCGCAAGCCUGAUGCAGCGACGUCGCGUGGGGGAUGACUGCCUUCUGGGUGUAAACCGCUUUCAGUAGGGAAGAAGCGAAAGUGACGGUACCUGCAGAAGAAGCACCGGCUAACUACGUG